RNAcentral lists this ribosomal RNA (279 nucleotides) under uncultured bacterium. RNAcentral describes it as "partial 16S ribosomal RNA". It matches the Rfam family "Bacterial small subunit ribosomal RNA", at positions 28 to 309 of the family's 1533-position model. The record is from RNAcentral.
GACGAACGCUGGCGGCGUGCUUAACACAUGCAAGUCGAGCGGUAAGGCCCUUUCGGGGUACACGAGCGGCGAACGGGUGAGUAACACGUGGGUGACCUGCCCUCAGCUCUGGGAUAAGCCUGGGAAACUGGGUCUAAUACUGGAUAUGACUCCACGGUGCAUGUCGUGGGGUGGAAAGCCUUGUGCGGCUGAGGAUGGGCCCGCGGCCUAUCAGCUUGUUGGUGGGGUGANGGCCUACCAAGGCGACGACGGGUAGCCGGCCUGAGAGGGCGACCGGCC